GACGAACGCUGGCGGCGUGCUUAACACAUGCAAGUCGAACGGAAAGGCCUGUCCUUCCUUGUGUUGGACGGGUACUCGAGUGGCGAACGGGUGAGUAACACGUGAGUGAUCUGCCCCCAACUUGGGUAUAAGCCUGGGAAACUGGGUCUAAUUCCCGAUAGGACUGCAGGGUGGUGCCUGUGGUGGAAAACGAUUUUCUAGUGGUUGGGGAUGGGCUCGCGGCCUAUCAGCUUGUUGGUGGGGUAAUGGCCUACCAAGGCGGCGACGGGUAGCCGGCCUGAGAGGGUGGACGGCCACAUUGGGACUGAGAUCCGGCCCAGACUCCUACGGGAGGCAGCAGUGGGGACUAUUGCACAAUGGGCGGAAGCCUGAUGCAGCGACGCCGCGUGGGGGAUGACGGCCUUCGGGUUGUAAACUCCUUUCGACCGCGAGGAAGCCGCCUGGUUGGAAGGGUGGUGACGGUAGUGGUAGAAGAAGCACCGGCUAACUACGUG
This 494-nucleotide ribosomal RNA is filed under the name uncultured bacterium. RNAcentral's name for it is "partial 16S ribosomal RNA". It matches the Rfam family "Bacterial small subunit ribosomal RNA", at positions 28 to 507 of the family's 1533-position model. The record is from RNAcentral.